This 397-nucleotide non-coding RNA is filed under the name Zostera marina. RNAcentral describes it as "Eukaryotic large subunit ribosomal RNA". It matches the Rfam family "Eukaryotic large subunit ribosomal RNA", at positions 3048 to 3399 of the family's 3401-position model. The record is from Rfam by way of RNAcentral. Lineage: Eukaryota; Viridiplantae; Streptophyta; Magnoliopsida; Alismatales; Zosteraceae.
AAUUUCUAACAUUUAGCCACGGAUUCUGCUGGCCGUGGCUAAUCCCGUGGCUGUUUCCCUGUUUUCUUGUAGUGUUGAAAAGUCAGUGGCGUGAAGCUACCGUGUGUUGGAUUAUGCCUGAACGCCUCUAAGUCAGAAUCCAAGCUAGUAAUGUGGCACAAUUGCCCUUUUUCCAAGUGCCGUCUUAAAGUAGGUUUGCUUUGUGCUCUCUUGGGCUCAUGUCAUUGGUUAAGUUAGCCCAUCAGAUGCGUUGGGUUAGUCACCUUGUAAAGUUAAUACGAUUGGAAUUUGGGUUGAAUCUUUUGCAAACGACUUAAAUACGUGAUUAGGUAUUGUAAGUGGCAGAGUGGCCUAACUGCCACGAUCCACUGAGAUUCAGCCUUUUUCACAAGGAUUC